CCUACGGGUGGCAGCAGUGAGGAAUAUUGGUCAAUGGGCUUACGCCUGAACCAGCCAAGUCGCGUGAGGGAAGACUGCCCUAUGGGUUGUAAACCUCUUUUGUCAGGGAGCAACUCCGGCUACGUGUAGCCGGACUGAGAGUACCUGAAGAAAAAGCAUCGGCUAACUCCGUGCCAGCAGCCGCGGUAAUACGUAAGGGGCAAGCGUGAUCCGGAUGUACUGGGUGUAAAGGGAGCGUAGACGGGAAGGCAAGUGUGGAGUGAAAGCCCGUGGCCCAAACACGGGACUGCGUUGGAAACUGUGUUGCGUGAGUGCGGGAGGGGGAAGCGGAAUUCCUAGGGUAGCGGUGAAAUGCGUAGAUAUUAGGAGGAACACCGGUGGCGAAGGCGGCUUACUGGACUGUAACUGACGUUGAGGCUCGAAGGCGUGGGGAGCAAACAGGAUUAGAUACCCGAGUAGUC
This 461-nucleotide ribosomal RNA is filed under the name uncultured bacterium. Its description in RNAcentral is "partial 16S ribosomal RNA". It matches the Rfam family "Bacterial small subunit ribosomal RNA", at positions 338 to 795 of the family's 1533-position model. The record is from RNAcentral.